Molecule: ribosomal RNA, 228 nt
Filed under: uncultured bacterium
Lineage: Bacteria
Description: partial 16S ribosomal RNA
Rfam family: Bacterial small subunit ribosomal RNA
Source: RNAcentral
UGCGUAGGCGGACUAAUAAGUCAGGGGUGAAAGCCCACAGCUCAACUGUGGAAUUGCCUUUGAAACCGUUAGUCUUGAGUAUAUUUGGAGUGGGCGGAAUGUGUUAUGUAGCGGUGAAAUGCAUAGAUAUAACACAGAACACCAAUCGCGAAGGCAGCUCACUAAACUAUCACUGACGCUGAGGCACGAAAGCGUGGGUAGCGAACAGGAUUAGAUACCAUGGUAGUC